AGAUCAAGACACUAAGGCUGAAGAACUACCGUCUGCUGUGCAAAAUGAUAAAUAUGAUGAUUAUUACUUCGAAAGUAAUGAUCAUAAAUGUUCUUCACUGAGCUGUGUCACCCCGCUGCAGUCGAUGGACUCGCCUGGAGGUCUCCGUACAAAGAAGAGGCUACUGUAAGAGAGUGGGUAAGUUGUGUUUAGUCUUUUUACUAAAGAAAUUAGGCAAAGCUAAAAAGAUGUUUGGUGGCUAGUGCUGUGUCUGGGACCCUAUAUGUACUGUUGAUGAAGUUAGAUGCUGUUCUGAGUAUUAUUUGUGGCUAUAGAGUGGCGUUUUGGUUAAGCGCAUGUUUCCUGGGACCGAUGUGUAUUGCUAUUGUGCGGUCGUUACUAAAGUAAGAAGUAAGCAUUCGGCAACAUUAAUCUCUCGACCGGAUGUCUAACUCUGUGUUAUGGUGUGUUUGACCCUAACUUAAUUUUACGCCGGAAUACUCCUUUAACACUUUAAACUUCAUCAAAGCUACUGUUUUGCAGGGACAUGAUGGAAAGGGUCACAGCCUCAGGACCCAUACCAGUAAUUGUUUCGUAAAAGUUAAGUCACGAGUUUUGGAGUAAGCCAGAAAAAUGUACACAGUCAAUAUCUGGGUAAAUCUGUAGACCAUUAAUGAAUGCUGUGUCUUCCUAAUUGAUGGAAACAAGUUGUGAAAUCACGUUUGGUAACGCAUGCAUGGCCUCUGGGAAUGUGCAUCAAUGCAGAACAGGAGCAGCUUCAACGUUCUAACUUAAAGCAAGAGGAGUUAAAUACUGGUUGUGAAACUGAUUAAAAUUGCUAUUGCUUUCUUUUUUUUAGUGGACAAAAUCAAACAAAACUAUCAAGGACAGAAUUCGCUGAAGUUCUCUGCAAGAGGGGUAGGUGUCAGACCAGACAGCACACAGCAGAAACAGCCUCUUUGAAAUUCAACAUCACAUAUUGUAAAGACUAUGGGUGAUAUUAUUCUCCAGAAAAUACCAUGUCUUGACAUAUAGAGGAUAAUCGGCAAAGUUCGGAUACAUGUUUUCUCUGACAUAAACCCAGAGUUCCUCAAAAAAGCUUUAACUCCAAUUUUAUGUUUUUCUGAUCUUAAAAGACUAAAGUUUUUCAUGUACCUUACAAAAAACAAAAAACAAGUGUAUUUUAACAUUGAACAAGUAUGCAAAGCAAAGUUGUUUCCAUGUACAUUGUUAAUAAAAUGACGCUGUACUUUUGAAAGGCAAAUAUAAUCAGUGAGAAGAAAAGAUACGACAAAAAUAUCUCCUUAUUGUCCAGACUGCCUUAGAAGACUUCUUACUGUCUGUGUUUUGGUUCGACCUGGAUUCCCCGAUGCACAGUAGUGAGGAAACAGGAGGCCUUUGAACAGGAGGUUACACAAGCAUCCGUGUGGCGCCACGCACUCCCUACACCUUCCAGCGCUUUUAUUUUCCUGUUUUUAUGUAUGACAAAGGACAGGGACAUGGUGUACACAGACGACUAUAAAAGCCAUCAAGCUUCAGCACACUGACUCUAACCUUUCAUAACAACGCACUCCAUUAUCUUCUCUCUUUUGACUGAUGGAGAUUGAUGGGACUCUGCCACUUGUUCACUCACUCACAGCACCGUCCUCCUCCUCCUCCUACAGGGAACAAUAGUGGCAUGACGGUGACCAUAAAGAGCGUUUCUGUUUUUUAGGGGCUGAAAAUACAACAUAUGAUCUUCCCUUUUGCUUUCUCUUUCACAGUUGGCCAAAUAGACAAGCGGGGCACCAUCUUUGAGG
Molecule: non-coding RNA, 1778 nt
Organism: Xyrichtys novacula (pearly razorfish)
Lineage: Eukaryota; Metazoa; Chordata; Actinopteri; Labriformes; Labridae
Source: the annotation of a GenBank genome assembly